This 253-nucleotide ribosomal RNA is filed under the name uncultured bacterium. RNAcentral describes it as "partial 16S ribosomal RNA". It matches the Rfam family "Bacterial small subunit ribosomal RNA", at positions 524 to 776 of the family's 1533-position model. The record is from RNAcentral.
GACGAACCGUCCAAACGUUAUUCGGUAUCACUGGGCUUAAAGAGUUCGUAGGCGGCCUGGUAGGUGAGAUGUGAAAUCCCACGGCUCAACCGUGGAACUGCGUUUCAAACCACCAGGCUCGAGGGAGAUAGAGGUGAGCGGAACAGAUGGUGGAGCGGUGAAAUGCGUUGAUAUCAUCUGGAACACCGGUGGCGAAAGCGGCUCACUGGAUCUCUUCUGACGCUGAGGAACGAAAGCUAGGGUAGCGAACGGG